RNAcentral lists this transfer RNA (72 nucleotides) under Candidatus Nealsonbacteria bacterium RIFCSPLOWO2_01_FULL_41_9. RNAcentral's name for it is "tRNA-Thr". It matches the Rfam family "tRNA". From Rfam's summary of the family: Transfer RNA (tRNA) molecules are approximately 80 nucleotides in length. Their secondary structure includes four short double-helical elements and three loops (D, anti-codon, and T loops). The record is from RNAcentral. Lineage: Bacteria; Candidatus Nealsoniibacteriota.
GCCAGGAUAGCUCAGUGGUAGAGCAACGGUUUCGUAAACCGUAGGCCGUGAGUUCAAGUCUCACUCCUGGCU